UACGGAGGGGGCUAGCGUUGUUCGGAAUUACUGGGCGUAAAGCGCGCGUAGGCGGCUUUGUAAGUUAGAGGUGAAAGCCCGGAGCUCAACUCCGGAACUGCCUUUAAGACUGCAUCGCUAGAAUUGUGGAGAGGUGAGUGGAAUUCCGAGUGUAGAGGUGAAAUUCGUAGAUAUUCGGAAGAACACCAGUGGCGAAGGCGACUCACUGGACGCAUAUUGACGCUGAGGUGCGAAAGCGUGGGGAGCAAACAGG
RNAcentral lists this ribosomal RNA (253 nucleotides) under uncultured bacterium. RNAcentral's name for it is "partial 16S ribosomal RNA". It matches the Rfam family "Bacterial small subunit ribosomal RNA", at positions 524 to 776 of the family's 1533-position model. The record is from RNAcentral.